RNAcentral lists this ribosomal RNA (460 nucleotides) under uncultured bacterium. RNAcentral's name for it is "partial 16S ribosomal RNA". It matches the Rfam family "Bacterial small subunit ribosomal RNA", at positions 338 to 795 of the family's 1533-position model. The record is from RNAcentral.
CCUACGGGAGGCAGCAGUGAGGAAUAUUGGUCAAUGGGCGCGAGCCCGAACCAGCCAAGUCGCGUGAGGGCGGACGGCCCUCCGGGUUGUAAACCUCUUUUGACGGGGAGCAACGGGCGUCACGUGUGGCGCCACUGAGAGUACCCGUAGAAAAAUCAUCGGCUAACUCCGUGCCAGCAGCCGCGGUCAUACGGAGGAUGCGAGCGGUAUCCGGAUUUAUUUGGUUUAAAGGGUGCGUAGGCGGAUCGUUACGUCAGUGGUCAAAUUGAGGGGCUCAACCCCUUCCCGCCAUUGAAACUGGCGUUCGUGAGUGGAAGAGAAGUAUGCGGAAUGCGUGGUGUAGCGGUGAAAGGCAUAGAUAUCACGCAGAACCCCGAUUGCGAAGGCAGCAUGCCGGCUUCCGACUGACGCUGAAGCACGAAAGCGUGGGGAUCGAACAGGAUUAGAUACCCGUGUAGUC